CGUGUGCGGUCCCUCCCCCUCACGUUCUCUCUUCCUCUGCUCCGCCAUGAUGAGAAGCGCCUGCUUCCCCUUCCCCUUCCGCCAUGAUUGUGUUUCCUGAGACCUCCCAGCCACGCUUCCUGUACAGCCUGCAGAACUGUGCCACGGGUCGGAGACAGCACGGAAGGAGAGACAAGCCUUACAGAGACAACGUCCAGCGCCGGACAGGACGUGGGAGGAAGGAGCGCAGACGCGGUGCUGGUGGGAGAAGGAGACGGUACUAGCACGGUGGAAAACCUGUGGAAGUUACCCAGCGACGUUGACAUACGUGCUCUACGAUUCCGCCCAAUCAUGGGGAGCACAGCCCACAGAAAGGCCUGCACACUCCCUGAAAGAUGCUCACAGGGAUGUCACGGCUCUGCUCUUCCUCACGACGGAAAAGGGAAACGGCCGCAAUACCCGUCUAUGGUAAAAAAGAUCGAUAACUUGGAAACGGAACCUGUGGCAUAUUCCUUGGAGUAUCUCCAGGUUGAGAAUUCAUGAUCCGCUUGGAAUGGGUUUAGAUCUCGGAAUGAGCUGUCAUCCCGGCCCAGCCAGGUAGCUCAGGAAGCCCAGCCAUUUAAAGAUGAUGCUAGACAGAACUCCAGAUAUUCUUGGAGCAGCAUCGGCAUCGGCACGAAAAGCCCCACGGCCCACAGAACUCCUUGGGAGGCAGCCACGCUUUUCUCCAAUCCUGUUUAGUGUCUGCAAGACCUUCCUCCAAGGAACCUGCUGCCAACUCGCCUGGCACAGACAUCCUGACAUGACACCACUGCUCAUUCCCCACUGGCACAGGACCGGCCAUCUCCUCCAAGCCUGAGCUGCCUGUACAGCAUCCCAAGCUCUGGGCGCACCUGGGGCAGCCGUGGCAGGAACGCCGUGGGAUCUGCUGAGUCCUACGAGGCUGCAGUGGGACCGAGUGGGAACCAUGGCCCAUGCAGAACUGCUUCUCCCUUGAAGAAGAAACACAGGCUAUUGGCUCAGCUGUAAAAGGCAAACACAGGCUAUUGGCUCAGCUGUAAAAGGAGAUCACGGCAUCCGCUUGGAUGGGGAGUUGGUGCCAGCUUUCCUGCUACAAGAAAAUUCAAUCCCAACUGCUACCCAGACCCGCUGUGUCUGCACCACAGCAGUGGGGACCGAGGGCAUGCCUGCCAUGCCAAUCCCGCAGAGGACUUUGCUGCAGCGAGACAGCCCCUUUCUCCCUCCAUGAUAGAGUUUAGAAGCCUCCUCCUCUUGCUGCCACCGUGGGUAUUUAGGUGAGCAGCUGUAGUUGCCGGGGAGGCCUGAGCACAACACUUAACGCUGCUCCUGCAGUUUCAUGGGCCAUUAACAAUUUGCUAAUAUUGUUUUAGCUUGCAAAUUAGUGCAGCUCCGUGGGUAAGGAAAGGCUCUGUGGCUGUCAUCAAUCAGAUGGAAAUUCUCCAUGCAUGAGAUGAAAAACGAUUUCUAGCCUUUGAGGCUCAGACGGCAAUUACUGUAACCAAAAAAAAUGGGUGGUGGGGAGCCGGGGGGAAGAGAGCUCCUUGCAAAGUCUGUUAGCAAUUCUAUGAACUUUAUUUCUUGAUGCACGAGAGUGAAACUAUGAGGAUUUCCAGCCAAGGGAACUUGAUUUUCUUAGUUACUAAUAAAGUGACAAUCUAAAGGAGCCCUCUCCAACUGACCUGCUCCCAGAAGGUGGGGAGAGAGGAUGUCCGUGUGGCAAGAAGGAUGACAAAGCUGUGAGGACCUGGUGACUGUCUUUGCUGAGCUCCCAACUGGUGACGCUCACCAGGAGGAUGCCACAGAUGGCUCUGCCAAAAGUGCAGACAAACCUUGGCCUUGUUUGUUGGAAACCAUGUUGCUUAUCCCCCAUCCCUCCCACCUUUAAGCACCAACAUUUUUUCCUUUUAAAUAUUGAUACGAGACUGGGCUGGGCAUGGUGGCUCAUGCCUGUAGUUCUAAUGCUUUGGAAAUCUGAGGCAGGAGAAUCACUUGAUCUCCAGUUCUAGACCAGCCUGGGCAGUAUAGUGAGAACCCCAUCUCUACAAAAACAUUUCAAAAAUUAGCUGGGUGUGGUAGUAUGCACUGUGGUCCCAGCUGCUUGGGAGGCUGAGGCAGGAGGAUCACUUGAGCCCAGGAGAUCAAGGCUGCUGUGAGCCAUGAACGCCCCUCUGCACUCCAGCCUGGGCAACAGAGUGAGACCCUGUCUCUUAAAAUAAAAGUGAGACUGUUAUGAA
This 2234-nucleotide long non-coding RNA is filed under the name Homo sapiens (human). RNAcentral's name for it is "long non-coding RNA NONHSAT193031.1". Lineage: Eukaryota; Metazoa; Chordata; Mammalia; Primates; Hominidae. The record is from RNAcentral.